Molecule: ribosomal RNA, 465 nt
Filed under: uncultured bacterium
Lineage: Bacteria
Description: partial 16S ribosomal RNA
Rfam family: Bacterial small subunit ribosomal RNA
Source: RNAcentral
GAUGAACGCUGGCGGCGUGCUUAACACAUGCAAGUCGAACGGAAAGGCCCCUGUUUGCAGGGGUACUCGAGUGGCGAACGGGUGAGUAACACGUGGGUAAUCUGCCCUGCACUUUGGGAUAAGCUCGGGAAACUGGGGCUAAUACCGGAUAGGACCUCCUUUUGGAUGGUGGGGUGGAGAGUUUUUCGGUGUGGGAUGAGCGCGCGGCUUAUCAGCUUGUUGGUGGGGUAGUGGCUUACCAAGGCGUCGACGGGUAGCCGGCCUGAGAGGGGGGACGGCCACAUUGGGACUGAGAUACGGCCCAGACUCCUACGGGAGGCAGCAGUGGGGAAUAUUGCACAAUGGGCGCAAGCCUGAUGCAGCGACGCCGCGUGCGGGAUGACGGCCUUCGGGUUGUAAACUGCUUUCGCUAGGGACGAAGCGCAAGUGACGGUACCUGGUGAAGAAGCACCGGCUAACUACGUG